CAGUCGCCGCGGUAAUACGUAGGUGGCAAGCGUUGUCCGGAAUUAUUGGGCGUAAAGGGCUCGCAGGCGGUUUCUUAAGUCUGAUGUGAAAGCCCCCGGCUCAACCGGGGAGGGUCAUUGGAAACUGGGAAACUUGAGUGCAGAAGAGGAGAGUGGAAUUCCACGUGUAGCGGUGAAAUGCGUAGAGAUGCGGAGGAACACCAGUGGCGAAGGCGACUCUCUGGUCUGUAACUGACGCUGAGGAGCGAAAGCGUGGGGAGCGAACAGGAUUAGAUACCCCAGUAGUCCCUGUCUCUUAUCC
Molecule: ribosomal RNA, 301 nt
Filed under: uncultured bacterium
Lineage: Bacteria
Description: partial 16S ribosomal RNA
Rfam family: Bacterial small subunit ribosomal RNA
Source: RNAcentral